Molecule: ribosomal RNA, 532 nt
Filed under: Aspergillus niger
Lineage: Eukaryota; Fungi; Ascomycota; Eurotiomycetes; Eurotiales; Aspergillaceae
Description: eukaryotic LSU rRNA
Rfam family: 5.8S ribosomal RNA (bases 163-316)
Source: RNAcentral
ACCUCCCAUCCGUGUCUAUUGUACCCUGUUGCUUCGGCGGGCCCGCCGCUUGUCGGCCGCCGGGGGGGCGCCUCUGCCCCCCGGGCCCGUGCCCGCCGGAGACCCCAACACGAACACUGUCUGAAAGCGUGCAGUCUGAGUUGAUUGAAUGCAAUCAGUUAAAACUUUCAACAAUGGAUCUCUUGGUUCCGGCAUCGAUGAAGAACGCAGCGAAAUGCGAUAACUAAUGUGAAUUGCAGAAUUCAGUGAAUCAUCGAGUCUUUGAACGCACAUUGCGCCCCCUGGUAUUCCGGGGGGCAUGCCUGUCCGAGCGUCAUUGCUGCCCUCAAGCCCGGCUUGUGUGUUGGGUCGCCGUCCCCCUCUCCGGGGGGACGGGCCCGAAAGGCAGCGGCGGCACCGCGUCCGAUCCUCGAGCGUAUGGGGCUUUGUCACAUGCUCUGUAGGAUUGGCCGGCGCCUGCCGACGUUUUCCAACCAUUCUUUCCAGGUGACCUCGGAUCAGGUAGGGAUACCCGCUGAACUUAAGCAUAUCA